This is a non-coding RNA of Peromyscus maniculatus bairdii (prairie deer mouse), 1131 nucleotides long. The record is from RefSeq and is a predicted model, not a curated record. NCBI's taxonomy places the organism in Eukaryota, Metazoa, Chordata, Mammalia, Rodentia, Cricetidae.
CCGCGCCGGCCACACUCGGAGCCCCGAGCGGCCGGGACGGCGCCGCCUCCCCCGGGAUUGGCGGCCGGAGUAGCUAAUCGGAGGCCGGAGCCGACCACCUGUCGUCACUGGAGGAGGGACUACAGUAGGUGUGCAAUUUGCCAAAGGCCUUUACUGUCUUCCUGAUGCUUAAAUAGUGGAGAACAAAUUCCAUGUGCAGCCUGCAAAGCCCCCACCUACUUGUGCAAGUUUAGUUUACACAGCUGCUCUUCACACUUCAGGCGACCGUGGUCCACGUCCCUGUUCUGAAGACUCCAGCUGGGAAGGAUGACAUGCUGUUUCCUGCCCCUCCCUCCUUUAAAGGUCCUGUCUGUCCUCUCAGACCAGCGCAAGUCUCCUCCUGAAGGUCCCUGUCGCCCCAGGUAGCAGAGACCUCUGGCCUUGUUUUUGCCUUCAGCACGUCCAGUUUUUUGCGGCUCUCGGCAUGCACACAUUUUCCUGACCUUCCCCUGCUGCGACCAUCAGCCAGCGAGCGUUCUUCUUUGCUGCCUUCUCAGCCUAUCACACAAAGCAUCUUGCACGAGCACAUGGAUGAUCAUCCAUCUGGUUGGAUUUCACAUCCCAAGCUGGGGCCUAGAGAGGCCGGUCUUGGGAGAGGAGGAGAGGGAAAGGGGGGGAGGAGGAAGGGAGGGGUAGCGGAGGGACAAAUUCUGGAUAUUAGACCUUCCCCAGGUCACAAAACUAGGUCAGACAAAUUACUCUUUGAUACACAGUAAACUAAUAGAAGCAUCAGAUGGCUUUUCCCAUUUCAAUCUUUUUACAAAAGAAAGCCAACCUUAUAUAGGAAAAAACAAAACAAAACACUAAAAUGAUGAAGAUUUGCAAAGUUCCUUAGAGGGAAAGCAAUAAACGAAAACAAAUAAAAGACCAGCAAGAAAGCAUCAGGCGUCCAUAUUUCUUCCAGAUGAGCACUAAUUUUGGACUGGAUCCCAGACAACCCCCACACAUCAAAUUCCUUCUGCCUUCUGUGGGAGCUGAUGGUGCAUAUCAUAUGAAAAAUUGUCUCCAAACAGCCUUGGCAAACAAGCAGGCCGGACGGGGCUUAUUUUACAGGGCAUGCAGGACUUAAAUAAACAGAGCUAAAGUAACUUG